GCCCUUGGUUGAGAAGGAGGCUGGUCGUGUCCCCAGGGCCAAGCCGGGUGCCACCUGUGCUGCCUGCAGACAGGAGGUGCCACGGCACUGUGGGGAUGGGGCUGCCUGAGGAGAGACCAACGGCAGUAAAGCACGCACACAUUACUCACUCUACAUCUUCCACUUCUGGUGAAACUGAUGCUUUCUUAAACAAACAAACCUGAAGUUGUAGAUGAAGCGUUGAACUUGGCUCUCAGCAGGUAGACGUGUCCCUUGCCUGUGAGGGGAUUCUAGCCUAGCCACAAGCCAGGUGGCUUGGGCAGGAGACACCUGCUGUCUCCUGGCCGUGGAGCACAGACGCAGCCGUCGGGUACAAGGGAGGGGCUCUCCAUGAAGGCUUGUGGAAGGAACCCUUUCAUGCCACUUAAACUGUCUUGUGUUUCCAGAAAUCAUCAGACUGACUUGGGGUGCUGUCACUACCCAUGUUCCCAGCAGCCCUCUUCUGUCAGUGUACAACUAGGAGUCAGCCUAUGGCCUUGUCAACUGGGGGCCUGGGCAACAAGCUGAUUCAAUAUAAGUUGGAUAUUAACAUGUGAAGAAUUAGGGUCAGGGUGCUCACUCACUGUAGUGUGUAGUCAGGGUGCUCACUCACUGUAGUGUGUUGUCAGGGUGCUCAGUCACUGUAGCAGGUGUAGGGUUAGGAUGGGGGCCAUGGGAGAAGGGUAAUGGAGGAACGAUUCUCAUUUGUCCACCUUGGAGGCUGCUUCCUGCUGCUCUGUUGGUCACCAGCAUUGAGCAUGAAAGCGAAGCUUGAGCUCAGGCUGUGGGAUGGAAUCCAGUCAGGUAUGCAUGACUGUGGUCCAAACAGGGUUAGCAAGGGUAAGUCUCUUCUUGGUGUCUGAGAGCAGAAGAGAGCCUGGGAUUGUUUAGAGAUUCCAAAAGGAAGCAAAAGUCAGAAAGACCUGGGGAGCGAGGGGACUACUCAGGAAAUGUGGGUCAGUGGGUGUAGAGACUGAAGUUCAGGAACCAGCAGGGUCUGUGUGGGUAGGAGGGGCUCAGAGACUUGAGGAGGCAGAAGUUGAAGGUCAAAGGUCCUAGGACUGGCCUGGGCACGCAGCUCCUGUGCUACCCCAUAAGCCCCUUGUCAUCUCUGCCCUCACUCACUCAGCCCUUACUCAACUCCUGCCCUCAUUUACUCCUGCCCUCACUCAGCCCUUAUUCAACUCCUGCCGUCACUCACUCAGCCCUUACUCAACUCCUCCCCUCACU
Molecule: long non-coding RNA, 1248 nt
Organism: Ochotona curzoniae (black-lipped pika)
Lineage: Eukaryota; Metazoa; Chordata; Mammalia; Lagomorpha; Ochotonidae
Exons: 3
Source: RefSeq, a predicted model, not a curated record